AAUACCUAUAUUGCGUGAAGGAGGUUUAAUAGUAGGUGACGAUGCGUUUCCCCUGAAACCUUACUUAAUGAAACCUUCUGCGCGAUCACAAAGAUUGACAUAUGGACAGUCGAGUUCAUAAAUAUGUAUACAUUUUUUCUCCUUAUUGCAAAGGAUUAAGGUUAAGUACUGUAUACAUAUUUAUGAACUCGACUGGACAAAAGGUAUUUAACUACAGGCUUUCACGAGCUCGCCGAAUUGUAGAAAAUGCUGUCGGUAUAUUGGUAAGCCCAUUUAGGGUUUUUCGCAAACCAAUGUGCCUGGAAAUCGGCAAGGUGACCAGCAUCAUAAGGGCAGCAUGUGCUCUGCAUAAUUGGAUGAGGAGCACUUCUCAAAAUACUUAUACCCCAACAAACUCGUUAGAUUUUGAAGAUAUCGAUAAUUAUCAGAUAGUACGGGGAAAUUGGAGAGAUGAGAACGUAAAUAUUCAAAAUAUCGGGGCUCAAGGUAGCAAUCAUAACUCAGAAAUAGCGAAAGCAACUAGAGAUAAUUAUCAACAUUACAUUUCAGACGUCCUUCGAUGAUCACUUGUGUAGUCUCCCCUUUUCCAUCCCUCUGGCAUCACGGAUAUUUUUUAAAGCAAUUAAGCAGAAAAAAUAUAUGCCGAACAGUCCCACCUUUGCGGUUUAGUAUUUGUGGUCUGUCAACUCAUUCUUUUUUUCCGUGCGAAGGCGUCACAUCUGCAUCACGGUAAAAAAUAGUAAACAUGCCCAAAAGGAAGAAGGAUUCCGACGAAUACAUCCUAAAAAAGUUAAGAAAACUUGAAAAAAAGAUCGCGAAAAGAAAUCAUCGCAGAUUGAGCACUACAUCUUCAUCACCGUCAUCAGACUCGCCGGCACCGGCGCCGACGCCGCCAAUGGAGUCACAACAAAUAGAAAAUAUUGAAGAUGUAUGCGAUAAUACCGAUAAUAUUAAAGGUAAUCUAUUUCGCAUUACGAAAGCAGCGAAUUUAAAGCCAUUCACAAUUUAUCGUCUCAGGAUCGAUACGAGGGAUCGUUCAGUAGGCGAUAUGUGUGUAAGAUCGACACUGUGGGGUCGAUUUUUGGCAGUAAUCAGGUCAAGGAUGGACACUGGGGGGUCCUUCAACGACUCUGUUAUUGUCCUUAAAAAACGUACAUUGAGACGUUUCAAGGUCAAAUGCGGGCCGCCAUCUUAUGUUGCGCCCAACGAAAUAAUAUAUUUGGUUUCGAUACCAAGAAAUAUAUGGAACUUUAAUCUAAAGGGGCGACGGACAUUGGCUACUACUUUUGGCUGUUUAAUCAUAGUUCUCUACAGUGCUUGUUUUUUAUUUACCGUGUUUCAGACCCACAGCCUGAAAUGGCUUCAAUGGCUUACCAAGAUCUUAUAGACCAACGAGAGCUACUACUUGAUGUUCCUGAACAUGAUCUUGAUGAUUCUAUUUUAAAGGUCCUUGGUAACAGCCAUGAAAAACCACAACAAUGGGGCAAGAAAAUUCAUAAUCAGAUUGCUGAAAGGUGGGAGAGUGUGUUAAUGAAUGGUCUUGAUAAACAAGAAAAGGAAUACACGCUGAAGCAAAGCACAUAUCUACCACCGGAGAACUGCCCACAUCUUAUUGUGCCUAAAUUAAAUCCAGAAACGGCAGCCGCAUGUUCAGAACUUAGUCGCAAGAAGGAUGGAUAUAUUGAAAUAAGACAAAAGAUGCAAUGCUUAGUGCAAGCAUUAGUGGACUUGCCUGUGCUUUAGAAAAGGUGAUAAAUGAGGUAGAACCUAAUGAUGAGAAAUUACAACUUCUCAAAGUUAUAAAUAACACUGUGAAGAUUUUAGCCGAUACAUUCUACAAUGAAAAUAAAUCUCGGAGAAUGCUAAUACUUUCUGGAUUAGACAAGGAGAUAAGAGAUACACUCAUUGAAACUCAACCAGAUAAAUAUCUGUUUAGUGAAAAUUUAUAUGAAAAAAUAAAAACUGCUAAAACAAUGGGAAAAACUGGACGCGAGAUUAGAUUUCAACCAAAAGCCCCCAGGACAAACUUCCCAAAGCAACCUUCAAACUGGAAGGGCCCACCUCGGCAGGUACAGAGAACUCAGGAGCUUCGUGCCAUGAAACACCGCAGCAGUGGGCCUCGACCAGCUUCGACAAAGAGAACUUCAGCAUCCAACAAGGGUUACCGGAAGCAGUACUCUUCAAGUCACCAUCGUCAUCACCAGCGCUGACUCAAGUUGGCAGAUCUACUCCUUCAGAGGUGUUCCUGCCAAUGGCAGCCAGGAUCAGCUGCUCGUCUUCACUGAUCCCUGGUAUCUCUCUACCCCAUUACCAGUGAGGAAUCGAGCCCGGUUGGCUGCCACAUAGCUCCGCCUAGCCUUUCGGCUCAAGUCACGCCAAGUCUGUUGUAGGCGAUACUAGAGGCCGGAACCCCAUAGGCCUACAUGCGAACCUAUUCUCUAGUGCUCUUCGGCGAUCGACCUACGUCACCGGCCUAGAUUACCGGUGGAAGACGGUCGACACUUUUACCGGCUGCAAAGCUAGUGCACCCACAAAGACCUAGCUUGAGACCUAACCUCCGGGACACUAAUUCGGGAAACAAAUCAAUUACGCAUUGAAUUAUUAUUGUCUAAAAUGGGCACUCAAAUUAAUUACCAUUUACAAAAGUCUGUUACAACCGCACUGAGUUUAUAUACGUAAGAUAAAUCUAAUAACGAAAAACACUAAGAAACCUAACUAAACUAGCUUCCAGAACGUUCCCGAACAGAAUAACCUCGUAAUUAAAGUA
Cydia pomonella (codling moth) is the source of this 2767-nucleotide long non-coding RNA. RefSeq lists it as uncharacterized. NCBI's taxonomy places the organism in Eukaryota, Metazoa, Arthropoda, Insecta, Lepidoptera, Tortricidae. The record is from RefSeq and is a predicted model, not a curated record. The transcript has 2 exons.